UCUAAUAUGGCAGAAUAGUGCAUUGGAUUUAAACCCCAAUUAUAAAGUUAUCUUUUUUUAGAU
RNAcentral lists this transfer RNA (63 nucleotides) under Staphylinidae sp. BMNH 1274668. RNAcentral's name for it is "tRNA-Leu". It matches the Rfam family "tRNA". Rfam says of the family: Transfer RNA (tRNA) molecules are approximately 80 nucleotides in length. The record is from RNAcentral. Lineage: Eukaryota; Metazoa; Arthropoda; Insecta; Coleoptera; Staphylinidae.